This 464-nucleotide ribosomal RNA is filed under the name uncultured bacterium. RNAcentral describes it as "partial 16S ribosomal RNA". It matches the Rfam family "Bacterial small subunit ribosomal RNA", at positions 28 to 507 of the family's 1533-position model. The record is from RNAcentral.
GACGAACGCUGGCGGCGUGCUUAACACAUGCAAGUCGAACGAUGAACCGGUUUCGGCCGGGGAUUAGUGGCGAACGGGUGAGUAACACGUGGGCAAUCUGCCCUGCACUCUGGGAUAAGCCCGGGAAACUGGGUCUAAUACCGGAUACGACACUCCGAGGCAUCUUGGGGUGUGGAAAGUUCCGGCGGUGCAGGAUGAGCCCGCGGCCUAUCAGCUUGUUGGUGGGGUAAUGGCCUACCAAGGCGACGACGGGUAGCCGGCCUGAGAGGGUGACCGGCCACACUGGGACUGUGACACGGCCCAGACUCCUACGGGAGGCAGCAGUGGGGAAUAUUGCACAAUGGGCGAAAGCCUGAUGCAGCGACGCCGCGUGAGGGAUGACGGCCUUCGGGUUGUAAACCUCUUUCAGCAGGGAAGAAGCGAAAGUGACGGUACCUGCAGAAGAAGCACCGGCUAACUACGUG